CCUACGGGAGGCAGCAGUGGGGAAUAUUGCACAAUGGGGGGAACCCUGAUGCAGCAAAGCGGCGUGGGUGAAGAAGUACUCCGGUAUGAAAAGCCCUGUCAGCAGGGAAGAAAAUGACGGUACCGGACCAAGAAGCCCCGGCUAACUACGAGCCCGCAGCGGCGGUAAUACGUGGGGGGAAAGCGUUAUCCGGAUUUACUGGGUGUAAAGGGAGCGAAGACGGCAAGGCAAGUCUGGAGGGAAGGCCCGUGGCCCAACCACGGGCCUGCUUUGGAAACUGUGUUGCUGGAUUGCAGGAGGGGUAAGCGGAAUUCCUAGUGUAGCGGUGAAAUGCGUAGAUAUUAGGAGGAACACCGGUGGCGAAGGCGGCUUACUGGACUGUAACUGACGUUGAGGCUCGAAGGCGUGGGGAGCAAACAGGAUUAGAUACCCCGGUAGUC
This 440-nucleotide ribosomal RNA is filed under the name uncultured bacterium. Its description in RNAcentral is "partial 16S ribosomal RNA". It matches the Rfam family "Bacterial small subunit ribosomal RNA", at positions 338 to 795 of the family's 1533-position model. The record is from RNAcentral.